UGUUGUAGUCUAGACCACACUAACCGAGACCAAGACAUACCCGAGACCAGAGUGAUCCAAGACCGAGACAAGACCAAGACAUUUAGGGGACGAGACCGAGGCAAGACCAAGACAUUUAGGGAUCGAGACUGAGUCAAGACCAAGACAUUUAGGGAUCGAGACCGAGUCAAGACCAAGACAUUUAGGGGUCGAGACCGAGUCAAGACCAAGACAUUUAGGGAUCGAGACCGAGUCAAGACCAAGACAUUUAGGGGUCGAGACCGAGUCAAGACCAAGACAUUUAGGGGUCGAGACCGAGUCAAGACCAAGACAUUUAGGGAUCGAGACCGAGACAAGACCAAGACAUUUAGGGAUCGAGACCGAGUCAAGACCAAGACAUUUAGGGGGCGAGACCGAGUCAAGACCAAGACAUUUAGGGAUCGAGACCGAGUCAA
This is a long non-coding RNA of Labrus mixtus (cuckoo wrasse), 434 nucleotides long. RefSeq lists it as uncharacterized. The record is from RefSeq and is a predicted model, not a curated record. The transcript is spliced from 2 exons. Lineage: Eukaryota; Metazoa; Chordata; Actinopteri; Labriformes; Labridae.